Molecule: transfer RNA, 23 nt
Filed under: Eumicrotremus spinosus (Atlantic spiny lumpsucker)
Lineage: Eukaryota; Metazoa; Chordata; Actinopteri; Perciformes; Cyclopteridae
Description: partial tRNA-Glu
Source: RNAcentral
UAAGGGUUUUUGYAGUCAAAAAC